Molecule: ribosomal RNA, 235 nt
Filed under: uncultured bacterium
Lineage: Bacteria
Description: partial 16S ribosomal RNA
Rfam family: Bacterial small subunit ribosomal RNA
Source: RNAcentral
CGGCACGGGUGGAGUAACACGUAUCCAACCUGCCGUCUACUCUUGGACAGCUUCUGAAGGAAGAUUAAUACAAGAUGGCAUCAUGAGUCCGCAUGUUCACAUGAUUAAAGGUAUUCCGGUAGACGAUGGGGAUGCGUUCCAUUAGAUAGUAGGCGGGGUAACGGCCCACCUAGUCUUCGAUGGAUAGGGGUUCUGAGAGGAAGGUCCCCCACAUUGGAACUGAGACACGGUCCAA